This 402-nucleotide ribosomal RNA is filed under the name uncultured bacterium. Its description in RNAcentral is "partial 16S ribosomal RNA". It matches the Rfam family "Bacterial small subunit ribosomal RNA", at positions 355 to 774 of the family's 1533-position model. RNAcentral also lists the same sequence under 2 other names. The record is from RNAcentral.
UGGGGAAUAUUGGACAAUGGGCGCAAGCCUGAUCCAGCCAUGCCGCGUGAGUGAUGAAGGCCCUAGGGUUGUAAAGCUCUUUCACCGGUGAAGAUAAUGACGGUAACCGGAGAAGAAGCCCCGGCUAACUUCGUGCCAGCAGCCGCGGUAAUACGAAGGGGGCUAGCGUUGUUCGGAUUUACUGGGCGUAAAGCGCACGUAGGCGGACUUUUAAGUCAGGGGUGAAAUCCCGGGGCUCAACCCCGGAACUGCCUUUGAUACUGGAAGUCUUGAGUAUGGAAGAGGUAAGUGGAAUUGCGAGUGUAGAGGUGAAAUUCGUAGAUAUUCGCAGGAACACCAGUGGCGAAGGCGGCUUACUGGUCCAUUACUGACGCUGAGGUGCGAAAGCGUGGGGAGCAAACA